This 138-nucleotide ribosomal RNA is filed under the name uncultured bacterium. Its description in RNAcentral is "partial 16S ribosomal RNA". It matches the Rfam family "Bacterial small subunit ribosomal RNA", at positions 354 to 509 of the family's 1533-position model. The record is from RNAcentral.
UGGGGGGAUAUUGCACAAUGGGGGGAACCCUGAUGCAGCGACGCCGCGUGGGUGAAGAAGCGCCUCGGCGCGUAAAGCCCUGUCAGCAGGGAAGAAAAUGACGGUACCUGAAGAAGAAGCCCCGGCUAACUACGUGCC